GUCUACGGCCAUACCACCCUGAAUGCUCCCAAUCUCGUCUGAUCUUGGAAAAGUAAAUUUAACUAGUGAGUAUGUUGAAAAUAAAUGCUUUUUUAAUGAAUGUUUGUUAUAAAUC
RNAcentral lists this ribosomal RNA (115 nucleotides) under Microcebus murinus (gray mouse lemur). The record is from RNAcentral. Lineage: Eukaryota; Metazoa; Chordata; Mammalia; Primates; Cheirogaleidae.